RNAcentral lists this ribosomal RNA (1764 nucleotides) under wastewater metagenome. RNAcentral's name for it is "bacterial LSU rRNA". It matches the Rfam family "Bacterial large subunit ribosomal RNA", at positions 811 to 2554 of the family's 2925-position model. The record is from RNAcentral.
GUGGAUAGGGGUGAAAGGCCAAUCAAACUUCGUGAUAGCUGGUUCUCUCCGAAAUAUAUUUAGGUAUAGCCUUGUGUUGUAGCAUAUAGGGGUAGAGCACUGAAUGGGCUAGGGCUGCUUACCGCGGUACCAAACCCUAUCAAACUAUGAAUACUAUAUGUGGAAUCACAGGAGUCAGGCGGUGGGUGAUAAAAUCCAUCGUCGAGAGGGGAACAACCCAGACUAACAGCUAAGGUCCCUAAGUCACAUCUAAGUGGAAAACGAUGUGGAGUUACUGUGACAACCAGGAGGUUGGCUUAGAAGCAGCCAUCCUUUAAAGAAAGCGUAACAGCUCACUGGUCUAGUGAUUCUGCGCGGAAAAUAUAACGGGGCUAAGAUGUGCACCGAAGCUUUAGAUUCGAAUUUAUUCGAGUGGUAGGAGAGCGUUCUAUUCAGCGUUGAAGAUGUACCGGUAAGGAGCGUUGGAGCGGAUAGAAGUGAGCAUGCAGGCAUGAGUAGCGAUAAUUGAGGUGAGAAUCCUCAACGCCGAAAACCCAAGGUUUCCUACGCGAUGCUCGUCAUCGUAGGGUUAGUCGGGUCCUAAGUCGAGUCCGAAAGGGGUAGACGAUGGCAAAUUGAUUAAUAUUUCAAUACCAACAUACAAGCGCGAUGUGGGGACGCAUAGAGUUAAUCGAGCUCACUGAUGGAAUAGUGGGUCGAAGGACGUAGGCUGUUACUUAGGCAAAUCCGGGUUGCAAUAGGCCGAGAUCUUACAGGCUCUUGACACUCUUCGGAGGAGAUGGAGAAUCGAUGAUACUGUCGUGCCAAGAAAAGCCACUAAGUUUAUUGUAUGUUGCCCGUACCGUAAACCGACACAGGUGGGUGGGAUGAGUAUUCUAAGGCGCGUGGAAGAACCCUGUUUAAGGAACUCUGCAAAAUAGCACCGUAUCUUCGGUAUAAGGUGUGCCUACUUUGGUAUAUAAACUUGCUUUCAAAAGCUGAAGAGGUUGCAACAAAGAGUCCCUCCCGACUGUUUACCAAAAACACAGCACUUUGCUAACACGUAAGUGGAUGUAUAAGGUGUGACGCCUGCCCGGUGCUCGAAGGUUAACUGAUGAUGUCAGCGCAAGCGAAGCAUUUGAUUGAAGCCCGAGUAAACGGCGGCCGUAACUAUAACGGUCCUAAGGUAGCGAAAUUCCUUGUCGGUUAAAUACCGACCUGCAUGAAUGGCGUAACGAGAUGGGAGCUGUCUCAACCAGGGAUCCAGUGAAAUUGUAGUGGAGGUGAAAAUUCCUCCUACCCGCGGAAAGACGGAAAGACCCCGUGCACCUUUACUACAGCUUGACACUGUAGCUUGGAUAUUCAUGUGCAGGAUAGGUGGGAGGCUAUGAUGACUAGACGCAAGUAGAGUCGGAGCCAUCCUUGAGAUACCACCCUUGAAUAUUUGAGUUACUAACUGCGUACAAUUAUCUUGUAUCAGGACAAUGUCUGGUGGGUAGUUUGACUGGGGCGGUCGCCUCCUAAAAAGUAACGGAGGCUUACAAAGGUUAGUUCAUGGCGGAUGGAAAUCGCCAGUUGAGUAUAAUGGCAUAAACUAGCUUGACUGUGAGACAUACAAGUCGAACAGAGACGAAAGUCGGUCAUAGUGAUCCGGUGGUUCUGUGUGGAAGGGCCAUCGCUCAAAGGAUAAAAGGUACGCCGGGGAUAACAGGCUGAUCUCCCCCAAGAGCUCACAUCGACGGGGAGGUUUGGCACCUCGAUGUCGGCUCAUCGCAUCCUGGGGCU